RNAcentral lists this ribosomal RNA (127 nucleotides) under Trichosporonaceae sp. RNAcentral describes it as "partial large subunit ribosomal RNA". Lineage: Eukaryota; Fungi; Basidiomycota; Tremellomycetes; Trichosporonales; Trichosporonaceae. The record is from RNAcentral.
AAACGAUUGAAGUCAGUCGUGUUUAUUGGAUUCAGCCGGUCUUCGGUGUACUUCCUUUAAACGGGUCAACAUCAGUUUUGUCCGGUGGAUAAAGGCAGUAGGAAUGUGGCUCCCUCGGGAGUGUUAU